This 254-nucleotide ribosomal RNA is filed under the name uncultured bacterium. Its description in RNAcentral is "partial 16S ribosomal RNA". It matches the Rfam family "Bacterial small subunit ribosomal RNA", at positions 524 to 776 of the family's 1533-position model. The record is from RNAcentral.
UACGGAGGAUCCAAGCGUUGUCCGGAUUUAUUGGGUUUAAAGGGUGCGUAGGCGGAUAAUUAAGUCAGUGGUGAAAUCUUGCGGCUCAACCGUAAAAUUGCCAUUGAAACUGAUUAUCUUGAGUACAGUUGAGGUGGGCGGAAUGUAUCAUGUAGCGGUGAAAUGCUUAGAUAUGAUACAGAACACCUAUUGCGAAAGCAGCUCACUAAACUGCAACUGACGCUGGAGGCACGAAAGCGUGGGGAUCAAACAGG